AGCGAACGUUAGCGGCGCGCCUAACACAUGCAAGUCGCACGAGAAACGGAGCAAUCCGCGGUACAGUGGCGCACGGGUGAGUAACACGUGGAUGACCUUCCCUGGAGUGGUGGAUAACCUGCCGAAAGGCGGGCUAAUACAGCAUAGGACCACGACGCUUUGGCGAUGUGGUGAAAGCGGGCCUCUAUAUAUAAGCUCGCGCUCCGGGACGGGUCCGCGUCCCAUCAGCUAGUUGGUGAGGUAACGGCUCACCAAGGCUUCGACGGGUAGCUGGUCUGAGAGGAUGGCCAGCCACACUGGAACUGAGACACGGUCCAGACUCCUACGGGAGGCAGCAGUGGGGAAUCUUGUGCAAUGGGCGAAAGCCUGACGCAGCGACGCCGCGU
Molecule: ribosomal RNA, 386 nt
Filed under: uncultured bacterium
Lineage: Bacteria
Description: bacterial SSU rRNA
Rfam family: Bacterial small subunit ribosomal RNA
Source: RNAcentral